RNAcentral lists this ribosomal RNA (474 nucleotides) under Triticum aestivum (bread wheat). RNAcentral describes it as "partial small subunit ribosomal RNA". Lineage: Eukaryota; Viridiplantae; Streptophyta; Magnoliopsida; Poales; Poaceae. The record is from RNAcentral.
AUGAUGAAAAACUUAAUUUGGAAGUUUCUAUACCUAGAAAACUUAAUUAAAGAUUAUGAGUGUUUUGCUUUGUGUAAUUUGGGUGCUAGCGUUUCCAUGAUUCCGAAAACUUUAUGUGAUAUUCUAGGUUUCCAUGAUCUUGAUGAUUGCUCUUUAAAUUUGCACCUUGCGGAUUCCACCUUUAAAAGGCUUAUGGGAAGGAUCAAUGAUGUUCUUAUCAUUGCAAAUAGAAAAUUGGUGCCCGUAGAUUUUAUCGUUCUUGAUAUAGAUUGCAAUCUUUCUUGCCCUAUUAUUCUUGGUAGACCUUUCCUUAGAACGAUUGGUGCGAUUAUUGAUAUGAAGGAAGGGAAUACUAGAUUCCAAUUUCCAUUAAAGAAAGGCAUGGAGCACUUUCCAAGAAAGAAAUUCAAAUUACCUUAUGAAUCUAUCAUGCGUGCUACUUAUGAAUUUAGUGCCAAAGAUGGCACUCGUUAG